CGAAGCCUUCGGGUUUAGUGGCGCACGGGUGCGUAACGCGUGGGAAUCUGCCCCUUGGUUCGGAAUAACAGUUGGAAACGACUGCUAAUACCGGAUGAUGACGUAAGUCCAAAGAUUUAUCGCCGAGGGAUGAGCCCGCGUAGGAUUAGGUAGUUGGUGUGGUAAAGGCGCACCAAGCCGACGAUCCUUAGCUGGUCUGAGAGGAUGAUCAGCCACACUGGGACUGAGACACGGCCCAGACUCCUACGGGAGGCAGCAGUGGGGAAUAUUGGACAAUGGGCGAAAGCCUGAUCCAGCAAUGCCGCGUGAGUGAUGAAGGCCUUAGGGUUGUAAAGCUCUUUUACCCGGGAUGAUAAUGACAGUACCGGGAGAAUAAGCUCCGGCUAACUCCGUGCCAGCAGCCGCGGUAAUACGGAGGGAGCUAGCGUUAUUCGGAAUUACUGGGCGUAAAGCGCACGUAGGCGGCUUUGUAAGUAAGAGGUGAAAGCCCAGAGCUCAACUCUGGAAUUGCCUUUUAGACUGCAUCGCUUGAAUCAUGGAGAGGUCAGUGGAAUUCCGAGUGUAGAGG
Molecule: ribosomal RNA, 568 nt
Filed under: bacterium 19-L049640-122-012-C03
Lineage: Bacteria
Description: bacterial SSU rRNA
Rfam family: Bacterial small subunit ribosomal RNA
Source: RNAcentral